GUGGGGUAGGGGAGCGUUCUGUAAGCCGUUGAAGGUGGUCUGUAAGGGCUGCUGGAGGUAUCAGAAGUGCGAAUGCUGACAUGAGUAACGAUAAAGGGAGUGAAAAACUCCCUCGCCGGAAGACCAAGGGUUCCUGUCCAACGUUAAUCGGGGCAGGGUAAGUCGACUCCUAAGGCGAGGCCGAAAGGCGUAGUCGAUGGGAAACGGGUUAAUAUUCCCGUACUUCUUACAAUUGCGAUGGGGGGACGGAGAAGGCUAGGUGGGCCUGGCGACGGUUGUCCAGGUUCAAGUAUGUAGGCGGAAAGUUUAGGUAAAUCCGGACUUUCUUAACGCUGAGAUACGAUGUCGAGCACCUACGGGUGUGAAGUCAUUGAUGCCAUGCUUCCAGGAAAAGCCUCUAAGCUUCAGAUUGUAAGGAAUCGUACCCCAAACCGACACAGGUGGUCGGGUAGAGAAUACCAAGGCGCUUGAGAGAACUCGGGUGAAGGAACUAGGCAAAAUGGUACCGUAACUUCGGGAGAAGGUACGCUCUUAUCAGUGAAGUCCCUUGCGGAUGGAGCAG
This 562-nucleotide ribosomal RNA is filed under the name Vibrio toranzoniae. RNAcentral describes it as "Bacterial large subunit ribosomal RNA". It matches the Rfam family "Bacterial large subunit ribosomal RNA", at positions 1223 to 1779 of the family's 2925-position model. The record is from Rfam by way of RNAcentral. Lineage: Bacteria; Pseudomonadati; Pseudomonadota; Gammaproteobacteria; Vibrionales; Vibrionaceae.